Molecule: non-coding RNA, 1659 nt
Organism: Salmo salar (Atlantic salmon)
Lineage: Eukaryota; Metazoa; Chordata; Actinopteri; Salmoniformes; Salmonidae
Source: RefSeq, a predicted model, not a curated record
AUCUUUAUGGCUCUGGAGUCCUCUGGAGUUUAUUGACCCGGGUCACCUGACAGUGACCUUGGCUAACUUGACACCGUUCGUUAUAUAAGUCUAUGGUUUGCACGUUGGCUCUGUAUCACAGUGAGUUCUUCUUUCAGGUGGGAACUGAGGAGACGAUGGUGACCGCUGUGCUCACCUUGUUCUGUUUCACCACAACUGAUGACCAACUUCUGCAGCUGGGUCUCCAAGAUCCAGCAACCCAUCAGGCAAGAAUGACUGUCUCAAAUGGAUUAACUCAGUCUGCAAUUACUUGCGAUUGCAAAUAUAUAAUACUGUCACUUAAAUUGCUCGAGGACUAUAUCUCAUAUUUUCACACAGGAAAGUCAAUGCACUGGUGGUCGGUCUUGACAAAGCAGGAAAAACAUCCACUGUCAGUGAAUGAAAUACACACCAAUAGAAAUAUAACACAGUAAUCUGGGUUGGCUGACGUAAAUUGUUCUGUCUCUGUCUGGAGUGCCCCCGGUGGAUGAGGGGCUUGACUCAUGGGUGUGUCCGGAUGGAGUUGAGAGUGGAGAACUUCCUGGUCACCCUGCUUGACAUCGGUGGGGGGGGGUCCUGGAGGGAUCUCUAUGGGGAGGUCCAUGGGUUCAUCUUUGUGGUGGACUCCAGUGACCGGCAGAGGAUUAAAGAGGUCCAGGAGCUUCUGACAGACCUGCUGAAGCAGCAUAAAGCGGCUGGCCAGCAAGCAGGACAAGAUGAACGCCCUGCUGGGGAUUGAGAUAAUCGAGAUCCUGUCUCUGGAGAGACUGGUGAAGCAGAGCCGCUGUCUGUGCCACAUUGAACAUCAGGGACAAGAGACCUCUGGCAACAGAUGAGGGACAACCGUGGGAAGAUGGAGAGGCCGCAGCAAGCCCAAAAAGGAAAGGAUACGUGGCAGCAAAAAUAACCUUGGUAAAGUACAACGCAUUCAAGAAAAGGACCAAAGGCCCAAGACCCCCUUACUACAACCCAUUUGAGACAUUGACAGUUUUAGUUCAAGAUCCAUAUGAUCUUGAAAAGAUUCCUAUAGUUUAAGUACAGUAAAGGUGUUAUGUGUGAACUGAUACACAUUUUGUAUUGUAGGAUAAUAUGAAGAAAAAGAAGGGAGGCCUGCCCUGCCUGCAAACCCUCCACAACCUCGUUCUAUUACUUCACAUCUUAAAUUUAUGGAUUACAACUGGAGUUUCCAUCGGCUUUUGAAGGAGAAUUGAAAAAGACCUGACGGCACAUUUUUCUUAGUAGCCACUGUGUAGGAAUUACAAAGCCAAUACACCCCUGAGAAGUGUGUGUUUAUUUUAUGUUACCAAAAGAUGUUAUAUGAGAGUGUCAAUAUUUAUUUACUAGUGGUUAUUUAAUUAUCUGUAGUAAAAGUAAACAAUUGUUUACAAACAUGAUCAAUGUACGGACAAAAUAUUUCAAUUCCUCAUAAAUAUAAAUAGAGUUUAUCUGUUUAUAUUGCAAUUUUGAUGGAAAGUGAGACUUGGUUUUAUAAAGUUUCUUGGACCUUAUUAUAUUAUAUGUUAUAUGUUAUAUGUUAUUGUAUGUUGCUCGCUUCGAUUAUGAAAUGUAUGCAUUCACUACUGUAAGUCACUCUGGAUAAGAGUGUCUGCUAAAUGACUAAAAUGUAAAUGUAAAUGUAAC